AUUGAACGCUGGCGGCAUGCUUUACACAUGCAAGUCGGACGGCAGCGCAGAGAAGCUUGCUUCUUGGGUGGCGAGUGGCGAACGGGUGAGUAAUAUAUCGGAACGUACCGAGUAAUGGGGGAUAACUAAUCGAAAGAUUAGCUAAUACCGCAUAUUCUCUGAGGAGGAAAGCAGGGGACCUUCGGGCCUUGCGUUAUUCGAGCGGCCGAUAUCUGAUUAGCUAGUUGGUGGGGUAAAGGCCUACCAAGGCGACGAUCAGUAGCGGGUCUGAGAGGAUGAUCCGCCACACUGGGACUGAGACACGGCCCAGACUCCUACGGGAGGCAGCAGUGGGGAAUUUUGGACAAUGGGCGCAAGCCUGAUCCAGCCAUGCCGCGUGUCUGAAGAAGGCCUUCGGGUUGUAAAGGACUUUUGUCAGGGAAGAAAAGGCUGUUGCUAAUACCGACAGCUGAUGACGGUACCUGAAGAAUAAGCACCGGCUAACUACGUG
Molecule: ribosomal RNA, 490 nt
Filed under: uncultured bacterium
Lineage: Bacteria
Description: partial 16S ribosomal RNA
Rfam family: Bacterial small subunit ribosomal RNA
Source: RNAcentral